AUUGAACGCUGGCGGCAGGCUUAACACAUGCAAGUCGAGCGGGGUGAUGGUGCUUGCACUAUCACUUAGCGGCGGACGGGUGAGUAAUGCUUAGGAAUCUGCCUAUUAGUGGGGGACAACAUCUCGAAAGGGAUGCUAAUACCGCAUACGUCCUACGGGAGAAAGCAGGGGAUCACUUGUGACCUUGCGCUAAUAGAUGAGCCUAAGUCGGAUUAGCUAGUUGGUGGGGUAAAGGCCUACCAAGGCGACGAUCUGUAGCGGGUGUGAGAGGAUGAUCCGCCACACUGGGACUGGGACACGGCCCAAACUCCUACGGGGGGCAGCAGUGGGGAAUAUUGGACAAUGGGGGGAACCCUGAACCAGCCAUGCCGCGUGUGUGAAGAAGGCCUUAUGGUUGUAAAGCACUUUAAGCGAGGAGGAGGCUCUUUUGGUUAAUACCCAAGAUGAGUGGACGUUACUCGCAGAAUAAGCACCGGCUAACUCUGUGCCAGCCGCCGCCGUAA
Molecule: ribosomal RNA, 503 nt
Filed under: uncultured bacterium
Lineage: Bacteria
Description: partial 16S ribosomal RNA
Rfam family: Bacterial small subunit ribosomal RNA
Source: RNAcentral